AAGGCUGAAGACCUUACCCGAUUAGCUGAGAGGUGGUGCAUGGCCGUCGUCAGUUCGUACUGUGAAGCAUCCUGUUAAGUCAGGCAACGAGCGAGACCCACGUCCACAGUUGCCAGCAUACCCUCCGGGGUGAUGGGUACACUGGUGGAGACCGCCGCUGCUAAAGCGGAGGAAGGAGUGGGCAACGGUAGGUCAGUAUGCCCCGAAUCUCCCGGGCUACACGCGGGCUACAAUGGUUGGUACAAUGGGCAUCUACCCCGAAAGGGGAAGGAAAUCUCUUAAAGCCAAUCGUAGUUCGGAUUGAGGGCUGCAACUCGCCCUCAUGAAGCUGGAAUCCGUAGUAAUCGCGUUUCAACAGAACGCGGUGAAUACGUCCCUGCUCCUU
Molecule: ribosomal RNA, 385 nt
Filed under: uncultured Methanosaeta sp.
Lineage: Archaea; Methanobacteriati; Methanobacteriota; Methanomicrobia; Methanotrichales; Methanotrichaceae
Description: bacterial SSU rRNA
Rfam family: Archaeal small subunit ribosomal RNA
Source: RNAcentral